UUUUUUUUAACGUGCAACUGAACGGCUCCUUUACGCUUCCCACAGCUGCAUGUUGCCGGGCUCCCACACCUGCUGUAAACUUGAGGUCCGAGGUGCCGCGCAGGAGGCUCUCGCUUCAAUGUGCUCUUUUCCCCCUCUGCUGUUCUCGCAAGACUUGAUCGCUUCGGGGCAUAGAUUUUUGCUCUUCUGUGUGAACACAAGCUAAAGUGGAAAUUCCCACCUGAGGUGUCAGCAUCAUCAUCAUCAUCAUGGAAAACUAUCUGGAGUAUAAUUCUUGCUAAAGGGCCUGAGGAGAAUGAACUUCGAUGGGAAAAAGAAGAAUGGGAAAGAUGAUUUGGAGAUUGGAGCAGACAUAGAAUCCCAUAACAAGAGAAGCAAAAUAACAAAGAAGGAUCAGGGACAAAAAUUAUCUUCUAAAGGCCUAUCUAGGAUUGACCUUGUAGUUGUAGAUUGGCUAAAGUAGCAGCUAUGCUAUAUACGUAUGGAUCCAUUUAACUAUACCAAUGACUACAUUUGAUGAGGCACGAAAAGCCUUGCAGCUAAAGAAAGCUGGUGUUCUGGAGGUUUAGUGGAAUUCCUUCUGUUCUGAUGACCUAGCUUUGCUGCCAUGGGGGCCACAGAUUGUCGGAGAAUUCUGAGUGAGAUAUAAGACCCUUCAACCCAGAGGAAACCUGGUAACAAUGUCUGGUUCAGCUCCUCAUCUUCCUUAAGGGCUCC
Molecule: long non-coding RNA, 717 nt
Filed under: Sarcophilus harrisii (Tasmanian devil)
Lineage: Eukaryota; Metazoa; Chordata; Mammalia; Dasyuromorphia; Dasyuridae
Description: lncRNA (ENSSHAG00000032260.1)
Source: RNAcentral